AAGAUAAUGACGGUACCCGCAGAAGAAGCCCCGGCUAACUCCGUGCCAGCAGCCGCGGUAAUACGGAGGGUGCAAGCGUUGUCCGGAUUUAUUGGGUUUAAAGGGUGCGUAGGCGGAAUAUUAAGUCAGUGGUGAAAGCCCACAGCUCAACUGUGGAACUGCCAUUGAUACUGGUAUUCUUGAAUUCAGUUAAGGUAGGCGGAAUUGAUGGUGUAGCGGUGAAAUGCAUAGAUACCAUCAAGAACACCGAUUGCGAAGGCAGCUUACUGGGCUUGAAUUGACGCUGAUGCACGAAAGCGUGGGGAGCGAACAGGAUUAGAUACCCUGGUAGUCCACGCCGUAAAC
RNAcentral lists this ribosomal RNA (345 nucleotides) under uncultured Symbiodinium. Its description in RNAcentral is "partial Bacterial small subunit ribosomal RNA". It matches the Rfam family "Bacterial small subunit ribosomal RNA", at positions 463 to 807 of the family's 1533-position model. Lineage: Eukaryota; Dinophyceae; Suessiales; Symbiodiniaceae. The record is from RNAcentral.